This 295-nucleotide long non-coding RNA is filed under the name Homo sapiens (human). RNAcentral's name for it is "HSALNT0408226". Lineage: Eukaryota; Metazoa; Chordata; Mammalia; Primates; Hominidae. The record is from RNAcentral.
CUGACUCCUUCCCAGAUCUUCUUGGCUUAGCGGCUGAAGACUGACGCUGCCCAGUCGCCUCGGAAGCCCCCCUACAUCAUGGACGCUGAGCUUCAGAUAACUCUCACAGUGGAAGUUUGGUCCAGAGAGCUGCCUUAGACUCCCCAGUAAAUCUAUUCAAACAGCUGCCUCUGUUACCUUGACUCGUCUCAGAUGUCAUCGACCUGAGAUGGCUCCUGGCGCAAGGAAGGGCAUUCCAGAGUCAACCUAAAAAUCAAGUUCAGGCCAUGAUGGAAGAGACGGAGUUGGACAUGCC